Long non-coding RNA from Marmota flaviventris (yellow-bellied marmot), 4102 nucleotides. RefSeq lists it as uncharacterized. NCBI's taxonomy places the organism in Eukaryota, Metazoa, Chordata, Mammalia, Rodentia, Sciuridae. The record is from RefSeq and is a predicted model, not a curated record.
GAACCGGAGAGGCCCAGCGUUGGCCCUGUCCUGGGGCAGCCCAGACACAUCCUACAUUUCUCAGGAGGAAGAAGAGUUGGGCUCUUCCUGCUGCAGCAGUUAAUUCGCCCUUCACCCUCUGCACUCAAAACAAACACUGGCUUGAAGCAUUCAGCUUUUCUACCACUGCGUAGCCGAGAGUGGAAAAAAUAACAUCUGAAACAGGAUGGGCUCUCGAGAUGCCUCGGGUGACAGGCACUUUUCAAACCACUGCAGAAGUCCUGGAUCCUGGACAGGAUGCAGAGUGGUGUGGCAGGAAACGCUGUAGGCCUGGGCCUAGAACUUGAACCUCCAGAGUCUACCGUGGAGCUCACUGUGUGCCAGGAAACUACUAAAUUCACUAACAGCCAAUAUGAUGAGCUUGUUCACUCCAGCUUUUGUUGACCGAGGGAAACCUGAAAGAACCCUGGGAGGUGUCAAGAUCAUACAUGACACAGUCCCAGUCCCUGCAUUCCAAUGACUUGUCCCAAAUAGGAAGCAAAGCCGGCUGAGCUAGAUACAGAAAUUUGCACAAUCACCAGCUGUGAGGUGAGGUGGUGGACAGUAGUCCUCCACACCCUACCUGUGCUUCCCUGUGGGGGACCCACCUGCCCCAGAGAACCCAGGCACCUGCUUCUGCCUCCUGCAUCCUUGGCUGAGUCUGCUUCAGCCCAGUGUCCAGCUCUCUAUAGCCCUGGAGCAUGAAAUCUUGGAGACUCCUCUUUGCCACCUGUCUCUUACAACUUCCCAUGGAUUAGGAAGAAGGAGAAGGAGCCAUUGAAACACAGAUGAGUUCAAGACACAAGAGAGCAUGUUCUCUUCUAGGCAAGAAAUGUUUGGGAUUUGGCAGAGUCUGAAGUUCAUGUUGUUGGAUGUGACCAUACACCAGCUGCCUCUGCCCUUCCCUAAGGAAGCAAGCAUGCCCAGGGCUCUCCAGGAAAAGAAGGCAGUCUCCUGGACAGCAUGCGGCUUCUCCUGGCCCAUCCUAUCAGCACGCAGCUCAGCACCCACCAUAUUGGUACUCAGUUCAGUAGCACAGUCCAAACACUUUGCAACCCUCUUACCGUAGUUUCCCUAACAACAGAUUCCAUAUCCAUGCAGUAGAGUACCAUCAAUUAAGCAGGUUUUCUAGCAGAGUAUGCAAGAGAGUCUUCACCAUGCAGCAGGACAGUCUCCUGUCCUGGGCUUUCAGAAUCCUCUGCCUCUAGGGGCUGACCACUGGAUGCAGAGGUACAAGCAGCGUACCCUGCAGACCCUCCCUUUCCCCCUCACCAGUGGAGAGUCCUCAGCACUCUGGUUCUGCUGCUCUCUGCAUGCAGGUACUUGGCUGUACCUGGAGAACGCAAGCCAAAAAGACUCUUUCCCCAUCUCCUGUGAUUGCAGGCACCUCCUCACCCUCCAGCCAGCGUAGAACCAGCUGAGAAACACUACUAAGACUUCCCUUCAUGCCAACAAGGGGCUGCAGCUGGACGGGCAACUCCUGGGUAUGAUUCCAUUGUCAAAUGGGAUGCCAGGAUUCUAGCAAAAGUUGGUCAGGCCCAGAAGACCCUGCCAAGGCCUCUUACAAAGGAGUCUAUCUCUAGGCCCAAGGCCAUCUCUGGAGGUCUGAAAGAGAAUGAGAAAAGUAAGCUUCAGGUUCUCAGUUCACGGACCAUGUUGUGUGGUCUGAAAGCCUCUGGAUCAGGGAGAAGGCCCCAGGCCAAAAUUCCAGUGGAGGCUGCGGGCCCAGAUGGAUGGCUUUCAUUAUGGAGAAAAUGCAUAUGAAGUUUAGCGGGGCUUGCUCUUGUUUUAAGAAUAUUAACAAGGCUUCGUACAGUUGUCCUGACCCUUUAGGAGAAUAACUUAGUUAGCACAGCUCUUGGCACUCAGAAAGGAACUCAGUCAAUUUUACUCCCUGUGCAGCAAUGGGGCCAGAGCUGCCACCUGGGGCCUGAUUCCUGAGGGCUGGUGCAUUUUGCAAAGAAUUCUUCCCCUCCUGCCACUAGGCCUCCUGAGAGUGCUGGCAGUGCCCCCUCCACUUGUAACUAAGUCAAUCUCUCCCUUAUCACCUAUAGUCAACAGGAGAAACCAACUGGGGUGGCUGAGGCAAAGCUGAGUGCUCUUCUCUGGUGUGCUUCUGUGCAGUGCAGGCCAAGCCAAGCACACCGUGGGUGUCACUGUGUGUGUCUCCCUGUGCUGUGCAGGGCUGCACAAACCUCCUCCCAUCAGGCAACACCACAGGCCCAGCACCCCGCCCUGCUGCAGUGCCUCCCUCCAGGGGCUCAGAGGCUUCGUCUUCUUUUACGGGGGGUAUUGCAGGGAGAGGGGCAGAGGGAUGAGAGGCCUGCCUUAAGACCACACAGCAAGUGUGAGCUGGGCUGCGUGGGGCUCAGGUGGCUGACCCCGCUCCCCGCCUCCACUACACAGGCUUCAAACAAGUGCUGGGGGCAGAGCCUGUCCCCCAGGUCACAGUGGUGAUCACACUUGAUAGCAAGACAAAUGCAGACAAAAGUCAAAAGCCAUCCAAAGAAAGGCAUGUGCAGACCUGGCCCACCCCUUGAGAGCAGAGCACAGGACAAGGGCCAUAGGGAGGGCCGUGACAGCUCUGAGGUACACGCGCUGCUGCCACUGCAGAGCCCCAGAGAGACCCAUCCUGUCCCGUGCCCCUUCCUUGGUAUUCAUGGAGGGAAGCAACAGUAAUGGUGGAAAAAAGCCAAUAGGGAAGUUCCCCUCCUACUGACCUUGCUAAAGACGGCCACACCCACUAACCGUUAAGGACUGAUUCAACAGCGUUACAGGAUGAAAAGCAACAGUUUAGUACUUUUAACUACAUUUCAGUUGUAUUAACAGGGUUUUAAAAAAAGAAAAUGCAUUUCUAUUUACACACUUGCCGUUGAAGUAAUGAGUAGACAAGGCCUUUGCUCCCAACACUUUGCUUUUCAACUUGCCCAUGAUCUUGUCUUCCUGUUGGAGGUAUUACAGCCAGAUGUGUCCCUUCACCUUGGCUCCUGGCUGAUCAAAGCAUGCUGUUAGUUUCAUUUUUACUUUGAAAAGUGUCUUUUACACAGUCAUAGAUAAAGAGUCAUGAACAUCUUAAGAGAAUACACAUGGCAAAGGUUCAUAAAAAUCUGAUUUCACAAUAAAUUCUAGAAAAUGCGACACUGCUCAUAUCUUUGUCUUUUCAGAUUGAGCCUGUUGUCUUUCAAAUGUCUCCAUUGCAGAAAAAAAUCAUAAACACAAAAACACUCCACAUGGUCACAGAUUGGCAGAUCUGAAGGAGCCUGGUUUUCAUAUAAAGACACAGAGAGGAAUAACACGACAAAACAUACGAAAAUAAACCAAACUCAGAGCUUCAAGAAAGAGGUGAGCAGGAGAAGCUAAGCUGGGCACGGAAACGCACCUCUGUCUCCACACACUAAUGUAGUUGCUGUAGUUGAGCAGGAAAUUCACGUUUCCUGGAUGCCUAAGGGAUAAAAAAGCUGUGGCCUUCUUGGCAUUCGGAAUGGCAGGAGGGCAGCACCUUGGAGAGCCUGGAGAAUGACCCUCCAGAGCCCAGGCACAGACUUCUCCUUGGAGGCACCAAGUCCACAGAGGGAGGUCAAGAACCUGAUUCAAGCACUCUGAUUCUGUUGUUCAUCACAUACGGUUUCAGACCAGGAAACUAUGAACCUGGAAAGAGUCCCGUUAGCUAGGAAGCAAUCAGCAGAAAGUAAGUGCCAUGAAAGAUUAAUUUUAUUAAGAAAUUGGGCAAUUCUUGCUUAGCACUGUUAUGGUUUAGAUGUGAGGUAUCCCCCAAAAGCUCAUGUGUGAGUGCAAAAAACUUAGAGGUGAGAGGAUUGUGUUAUGAGACGCUUAACCUAAUCAGUGCAUUAAUCUCCUCAUAGGGAUUAACUGGGUGGUGACUGCAGGCUGGUAGGUAUGGCUGGAGGAGGUGGUCAUUCGGAUAUGCCUGUGGAGCUUAUGUUCUGACCAUGAUGAGGGGCACUCUCUCUGCCCCUGCCCCCUGCUUUCCGGGUGUCAUGUCCCCAUCUGCUUUUCUCCGCCACACUCUUCUGCCAUGAUUUUGUGCCCCAUCCCAGACCCUGAGCAAUGGAGUUGGCCAUCU